This 651-nucleotide ribosomal RNA is filed under the name uncultured bacterium. RNAcentral's name for it is "bacterial SSU rRNA". It matches the Rfam family "Bacterial small subunit ribosomal RNA", at positions 93 to 740 of the family's 1533-position model. The record is from RNAcentral.
CAGCGGCAGACGGGUGAGUAAUACGUAGGUAACCUUCCGUUUUGUGGGGGACAACGGUCCGAAAGGACCGCUAAUACCGCAUACGUCUCUCGGGACUUCGGUUCUGGGAGGGAAAGCCUCGCAGCGCAGAAUGAGGGGCCUAUGUCGCAUCAGCUAGUUGGUGGGGUAAUGGCCUACCAAGGCUAAGACGCGUAGCUGGUCUGAGAGGAUGAUCAGCCACACUGGGACUGAGACACGGCCCAGACUCCUACGGGAGGCAGCAGUGGGGAAUAUUGGACAAUGGGCGCAAGCCUGAUCCAGCCACGCCGCGUGAGUGAUGAAGGCCUUCGGGUCGUAAAGCUCUGUGGGGAGGGACGAAUGGCCGGGUGAAGAGCCCGGAAUGACGGUACCUCCUUAGCAAGCACCGGCUAACUUCGUGCCAGCAGCCGCGGUAAUACGAAGGGUGCAAACGUUGCUCGGAAUCAUUGGGCGUAAAGCGCACGUAGGCGGCUUCGCAAGUCGGAUGUGAAAUCCCUCGGCUCAACCGAGGACGUGCAUCCGAAACUGCGGAGCUUGAGUACUGAAGAGGAUCGCGGAAUUCCCGGUGUAGAGGUGAAAUUCGUAGAUAUCGGGAGGAACACCAGUGGCGAAGGCGGCGAUCUGGGCAGAUAC